This 118-nucleotide ribosomal RNA is filed under the name Pteropus alecto (black flying fox). Lineage: Eukaryota; Metazoa; Chordata; Mammalia; Chiroptera; Pteropodidae. RNAcentral also lists the same sequence under 1 other name. The record is from RNAcentral.
GUCUACGGCCAUGCCACUCUGAACAAGCUUGAUCCUAUCUGAUCUCGGAAGCUAAGCAGGGUUGGGCCUGGUUAGUACUUGGAUGGGAGACCACCUAGGAAGACAAUGUGAAUAGGUG